This 140-nucleotide ribosomal RNA is filed under the name uncultured eukaryote. RNAcentral's name for it is "partial 18S ribosomal RNA". It matches the Rfam family "Eukaryotic small subunit ribosomal RNA", at positions 1299 to 1458 of the family's 1831-position model. The record is from RNAcentral.
UGGUGGAGUGAUUUGUCUGGUUAGUUCCGUUAACGAACGAGACCUUAGCCUGCUAAAUAGUUACGUGUAACUUCGGUUAUGCGGGCAACUUCUUAGAGGGACUUUGUGUGUCUAACGCAAGGAAGUUUGAGGCAAUAACA